This is a long non-coding RNA of Dromaius novaehollandiae (emu), 1696 nucleotides long. RefSeq lists it as uncharacterized. The record is from RefSeq and is a predicted model, not a curated record. NCBI's taxonomy places the organism in Eukaryota, Metazoa, Chordata, Aves, Casuariiformes, Dromaiidae. The transcript is spliced from 2 exons.
CCAUCCUUUUUGCCUGAGUAAUUGCAACAUAUAUCAAGCUGAAAGUAUCUGAAUAUGACACUCAAAAGAAACAAACAAACAAAAAGAAAAAACAACUGCAUUUACACAUUAACUGGGACACAAAGAAAAAGCAGCUUUCUAUUCAUUUUCUUCACUGGAGUUGGAAAGGCCUGGAUAUAAGGUGAAACUUCAAGUUAGACAGCAUGAUGCCAAGAAGACAGGAAAAAUUCUUAUCAGAGAGAUUCUUAAAUCCACAAUAUAGUAUGUGUAAAACAGGGCUGACAAUAUUAUUCAGGAGUUUUUAAAUUAAAAACACUGCUAAGAUCUAGGGUAAAUGCGACCAUACUUGUUCAUUCUGUAUUAAGAUCUCCCUCUUGAAAGCUGAAGGCAGUAAUUUUUAAGUUAGUUUUGUCUUAAUUUCUCUUCUUUGACAAUGCCAUUCCAUAUUAUGAUCUGUUCAUAUUAUUUCUAGGGUCCCUAGAUAUUAAGAUAAAUUUUUAUUUGGAAAACAGGUUUACUAGGUUAUCCUGAGACUCUUUGUUUGGUAACAUUACCCAAGUUCUUGAUACCUAUGGAAAAGGUGAAUGAAACCACUAUCAAAUACCUAGUAAAGAAGUAGCGAUACACAAUAAGCUAUGCAUUUAUUCCAAUCUCCUUCUCAGAUAAGUGAUGGUUACUAGUAAAGCGUGCUUAUUUUGACUAUAGAACACAGAUAUUUACAGCUUCAUAAAUUUUUUUGACAACCUAAAAAUCCUAUCAGAUUAGUACUUUAAAUCAAGUACUUGAGGAAACAUAAGCCUUUAGAAACUUAAGCCAGUGUAUUUCAACUACAGUGAGCUAACACCAGUAAAACAAAGGAGAUUAUUGUUAUAUGCUCCUUUGAAAAGCCAGUCUAUAGCUGCAAGAUCAGACUACCCUGAAGUGACAUCAAAGAGAAGAGGAUUUAUAUUACAUUGUAGCCAUUUUUUCUAUGCUACAUCUUGUCACUAGGUACAACACAAACUCCUUCCAGCAAGAGGCAUUUUCUAUGUCUCCACCCUGCUACAGUGAGGGCUUUGGGUCUCUGCGUAAGUUGGGUUGGUUUGGGGUUGGCUGGGGAAAUGGAUUGUAAGCAGCAGCAGACUAGCAGAUGAUCGUGCAACCAAGUCUUGAAACAGAAAAAAGCCUCACGGUCUCAUAAGGACACACAGCAGUCUGUGUGUUCCUUCUCCCUUGCUCUCUUUUUUAAACUGUGUAUUUUAGGGAAACAAGGCUUGUGUGAUCUUUGAUAAUUUUCCCUUAAUCCUCCAGUAACUUUUGAACCUCAAGGAUAAUUUCUAUCAAAAAUUUGAUAGGUGUAUAGAGAUAUCAAUGUUAUGUUCUCAGAAGUGUCAUGGGGAGAAGGAAAAAAGAAAACCCACCCAUUCAGAAGAAAAUUUGAAUUAGUUCUCCUGCUGAGAGUGGAAAAAAACUGAAGUGGGGGCUUCCUACUAACUGCUUGGUCUGUGGCACGUGCAUGUAGUUCAGACCAAGUUGUACCAUGUAAUGUAUCUUGGCCAUGAAGUAAUUAAAAAAAAUCAACAGGGAGAAGUACGGUGUUUUUAAUGUAACACGGUGUGCAGAGAAAGGUGACUGAAGGAAAGAUUGGAAGUACUGUAUGAAGGUACAUAGCAAAUAAUUUUGUUAUUAGCUCAUGGAAUAAAGUCUGCAAAACUCA